UCUGUGGGGAGAGUGAGUUUAGCCUACCGCAGACUAUCUCCUGUUCUUCCGUAGGCAGGUGGAUUGCAUGCCCAGACACAUGGCGGCUCACCCAGCAGCUCCAUCACCCCACCCCCAGGAGUUCCAAUAAAGCACCGCGCAAGUGCACAACACAUUACUGGGAUCCCGAGUGUGGCAGCCGACACACGAUUUUUUAAAAAAUGCAAGUUAAGGGCGCGUUCGCUCCCUUAAUCUCAUUUUAGCAGGUGGCUACUUGGGUGGGUUUGCUGUUGUGUAGCCACCAGGAUCAGGUGUGAUCCUGGUGGUUCACACAAGCUUGCAAACCUGGACUGGGCUCCCUUAGCCUAGUUUUGCCCACUCAUGUGAAUAGCCUCUAUGUCUGUGACUAGUCAAGGCAGGAAGGGACCUAUUCCAGAAAUUAACCACUGCUUACAUUGAAGGAUUCUCCACAUAGGAUUUGUAGGGGGAACUUGUAGGCCUGGAUUCAAAAUAAAAUAUCAUCCUUUGAUAGCAAAGGGGGUCAUUUUCAUAUGAAGGCUAGACACAAGCACUGUAGAAAUUGGAGUACACAUAUAGCUGUCCUGAAUUACCCUUGCUGAUGGACAGAACUGGCUACGGCCUAGUUUUCAGUCCCAGAGCUAUAUGUGGGCCUAAACAAGGCUUCUGCAUGGUUGGUAUUUCUUUGGUGGAAAGUGUUUUGUCUCUCUUCUCCUUCACUGCAGACUUAAAAUAGAAACAGCCAACAGCUGCUACCAGACCCUUCUGUUAUCCUCUUGCCUGAGGCCCUUUCUGAGGGAAAAGAACUACCUCUUUAGGCCUCAAGAUAUUCUGACAUGAAGACCCUAGCAGACCAACUUACACAAUGAGGAAAUGUGUAGAUGGACCAUACUGCAGUUUCUCUGGGGCUCACACCCAGGAAAGUGCACCGAGGAUUGCAGUCAAGUCAUUAAAGGAGAAGGUUUAAAGUUCCAAGGGGAGAAAAUGAUUUCAGGAAGUGGAUGGUUACAGUAGCAACAAUGCCCAGAUACACAGGAAACAUUUAAAGCCACUUUUUUUUUUUUUUAAGUAAGAGUUCUAACCAGCACAGUUGUGUUUAUACACCACCCUGCCCCAUUCCAAGCUCCAUGGGAGAUAGAGACUUAUCAAAUACUGGAGAAUACAGUAUAUUCCUGAGAAGUUUGAUAAACCAGACCAGACUCUAUGGGGAAGUGGGGACAGUGGAAGGUACAUAUAAUGAACCAUCCCCGUAAUGUGGACAGAAAACAAUGUGCAAGCACUGCUGGAUGUGCAAGCUCCAUUUCUACUCCACCUGCAGCACAAUGCAGAAACUCACAGAAGCAAGCACAAAAAAGCUCUCCAUCUGAAAGCAAGUAAUCUCUGUUGCAACUAAAUAAUAUUACAACAACAAUUUUUUUUUUGAUAUUUCAAACUCAAGCUGUAAUCUUAUGCACACUUUCUUGGGAAAAGGCACCAUUGAAACACCUUGGGGGAAGCAUGGAACUUACUUCUAAGGAAACAUGCAUAGAAUUGCAUUGUGAAGCUACAUUUUAAAUUAUCUGAUUAUAAUGUGCAAUUUAAGAAUUAUUGUUCUAUGGCAAUUUUGCUUAAUUUUUAAAAAAUGCAUUUGAUUGGUGUAACAAUCAGGCUACAAUCAUGUGCUGGAGUGAUGACUGGAAUGUAAUGGAGAAUUGAGCCACUAUCUAUAAAUACAAACAACUUGUGAACAAAUUCAGAA
Hemicordylus capensis (graceful crag lizard) is the source of this 1735-nucleotide long non-coding RNA. RefSeq lists it as uncharacterized. The transcript has 2 exons. Lineage: Eukaryota; Metazoa; Chordata; Lepidosauria; Squamata; Cordylidae. The record is from RefSeq and is a predicted model, not a curated record.